RNA transcript from Arabidopsis lyrata subsp. lyrata, 504 nucleotides. It is a transcript of the gene named mitotic spindle checkpoint protein MAD2-like, with no coding region annotated. The transcript is spliced from 3 exons. Lineage: Eukaryota; Viridiplantae; Streptophyta; Magnoliopsida; Brassicales; Brassicaceae. The record is from RefSeq and is a predicted model, not a curated record.
UACGUGUGGUUUAGAUCUAGAUAAGUUGGUUUAUUUAUGCAAAAACAUUUCAAUCAACUCAGUUUAAAUGCAUAUUAUUACUCUUUUAUUUGUAUGUUUAUGGUGUUUAUGCUGUCUUGAUUCUGUUUAUGCUUUGGAUGUUUGUGAUGUUUUAUGCUGUCUUGAUUCUGUCUUUGUCCUUUCACUGUGUCUCAAGGAAUAAAAGUGAUCAGGAGAUCACGAGGGAGAUUCAAGCUAUAAUGAGAAAAGUUGCUUCCAGCAUAACUUCCUUGCCUUGUCUCCAUGAAACAUGUGUGUCUGAUGUGUUGGCAUAUACUGAUACCGAUGUGGCUGUACCAUUCACCUGGAUCGAGAGCGAUCCCAAGUUGAUCGAAUCCGCAGAGAGUGGUUAAGUUGCAUUCUUUUAAUACUAAUAUUCACAAGGUCGACACACUCAUUUCAUACAAGAACAACAAAGGGGAUGAAGAGUGACUCUGACACCACACAGUCACACUCGCUCGUCUG